GCGGAUGUAGUGGAUGGUACACCGCUGCAUUUCAUUAUAUGAUGCGAAAUAAUGAAAGAAAGUUGAAACGGUUGCUGGGGUUCGACUCCCCGCAUCCGCA
This is a non-coding RNA of Mycena leptocephala, 100 nucleotides long. The record is from the annotation of a GenBank genome assembly. Lineage: Eukaryota; Fungi; Basidiomycota; Agaricomycetes; Agaricales; Mycenaceae.